This 500-nucleotide ribosomal RNA is filed under the name uncultured bacterium. RNAcentral's name for it is "partial 16S ribosomal RNA". It matches the Rfam family "Bacterial small subunit ribosomal RNA", at positions 30 to 523 of the family's 1533-position model. The record is from RNAcentral.
AUUGAACGCUGGCGGAAUGCUUUACACAUGCAAGUCGAACGGCAGCACGGACUUCGGUCUGGUGGCGAGUGGCGAACGGGUGAGUAAUGUAUCGGAACGUGCCCAGUCGGGGGGGAUAACGUAGUGAAAAUUACGCUAAUACCGCAUACGAUCUAUGGAUGAAAGCGGGGGAUCGCAAGACCUUGCGCGAUUGGAGCGGCCGAUAGCAGAUUAGGUAGUUGGUGGGGUAAAGGCCCACCAAGCCAACGAUCUGUAGCUGGUGCGAGAGGACGACCAGCCACACUGGAACUGAGACACGGUCCAGACUCCUACGGGAGGCAGCAGUGGGGAAUUUUGGACAAUGGGCGAAAGCCUGAUCCAGCCAUUCCGCGUGCAGGAUGAAGGCCCUCGGGUUGUAAACUGCUUUUGUACAGAACGAAAAGGUUUCUACUAAUACUAGGAGCUCAUGACGGUACUGUAAGAAUAAGCACCGGCUAACUACGUGCCAGCCGCCGCAGUAA